ACCCGGCUUCCGUCCCCGCGGCCGCUUUCUCCUCAGCCGCCGCGGCCGCCUUCUCCUCAGCCGCCGCCUCCUCAGCCGCCGGUUCCGCCGCGGCCGGACUCACCUCCCCUAGCAAAGCCGGAUAGAGCGGAGCCAGCGUCGGACACGCGCAACCAGCCGCCGAGGCCCCGCCCCCGCCUUGCACGGACCGGCUGCCCUAGCCAAUCCACGCCCACCUGUCCGCCACCGCCUCCAAUCCUGGGCCAGGAGCUUCAGACAGGCGCACUGUUCGGCCAGUGGCAACAAGGAGCAGGAAGCUGCGUGGUAAUCCCGCCUGCAAAAGCUGGAAGAGAGGGGCGGAACGAAAGAACCAAUCAUGAGCCAGAGACAAAGAACAGAGUAACCAAUCCUUGGGUUGAAAAUGAAGUGGGAUGGAACCUGGGCCAAAUAGACACUUGAAAAAACAAAUGGAAAAAAAAGGUUGAUGAGCUGAGCAUGAAGAACGAGAAGUCGGAAGUGAGUCAGCAGGAUAGCACUUAGAGCCUAAAAAAGCAAGCAGGACAUCAGAAUGCAUAAGCAGGAAUAUAAUGUGCAGGAAGUGGGAGGUGAUCUUCCCUUUCUUCCAAGAACUGGCUCACCCCAUGAGUUGUCUGCAAAGACUUUGCAGAACUUGGGCCAGGCCCAGGAAUAUUAAAGGACUACAAAAGGAGCAACUCACAUUCAACAGUGCUGGGUGCUCAACACCUGUUAUCUCAUGUGAUCAAUCGUCAAUAUGUCCCAUUUUGCAAAUGAAGAAA
This 776-nucleotide long non-coding RNA is filed under the name Homo sapiens (human). RNAcentral describes it as "HSALNT0389168". The record is from RNAcentral. Lineage: Eukaryota; Metazoa; Chordata; Mammalia; Primates; Hominidae.